CAUGCAGGCGGAUUCUUAAGUUGGACGUGAAAGCUCCUGGCUCAACUGGGAGAGGUCGUUCAAAACUGGGGAUCUUGAGGGUGGUAGAGGCGAGUGGAAUUCCCGGUGUAGUGGUGAAAUGCGUAGAUAUCGGGAGGAACACCAGUGGCGAAGGCGGCUCGCUGGGCCAUUCCUGACGCUCAGAUGCGAAAGCUAGGGGAGAGAACG
Molecule: ribosomal RNA, 207 nt
Filed under: uncultured bacterium
Lineage: Bacteria
Description: partial 16S ribosomal RNA
Rfam family: Bacterial small subunit ribosomal RNA
Source: RNAcentral